Molecule: ribosomal RNA, 460 nt
Filed under: uncultured bacterium
Lineage: Bacteria
Description: partial 16S ribosomal RNA
Rfam family: Bacterial small subunit ribosomal RNA
Source: RNAcentral
CCUACGGGUGGCAGCAGUGAGGAAUAUUGGUCAAUGGGAGGAAUCCUGAACCAGCCAUGCCGCGUGCAGGACGACGGCUCUACGAGUUGUAAACUGCUUUUGUACCGGGGUAAAAUGCUCUACGUGUAGGGUUUUGAAAGUACGGUACGAAUAAGGAUCGGCUAACUCCGUGCCAGCAGCCGCGGUAAUACGGAGGAUCCGAGCGUUAUCCGGAUUCAUUGGGUUUAAAGGGUGCGUAGGUUGUUUUAUAAGUUAGCGGUGAAAUACCGAUGCUCAACAUCGGGGCUGCCGUUGAUACUGGAGGACUGGAGUUGGGGUGCAGCAGGCGGAAUGUGUGGUGUAGCGGUGAAAUGCAUAGAUAUUACACAGAACACCGAUUGCGAAGGCAGCUUGCCAGGUCGGCUCUGACACUGAUGCACGAAAGCGUGGGUAUCGAACAGGAUUAGAUACCCUGGUAGUC